RNAcentral lists this long non-coding RNA (523 nucleotides) under Homo sapiens (human). Its description in RNAcentral is "non-protein coding lnc-KIF1A-1:1". Lineage: Eukaryota; Metazoa; Chordata; Mammalia; Primates; Hominidae. The record is from RNAcentral.
CGAGGCAGCACUGCCCUCUGCUAGGAACAGCUCCGUGUUGGCCUCUCUGUCCCCACACACUGGGCCUGCAGGGCUUCUCCGAGACUCUUCAGUUCAGGCUUCUGGGUGCUUUCCUUAGUUCAGCACCAGUGCUCUGUGUGGGCAGCGUCUCCCCCGAGGAUCCGCAGCUCCGGGUUACCCGCAGGCGUCCAUCUCCGGGAUGGUCCUGGCUGUGCUGCUGCACCAGGGCCGCCUUCCCCACCUUUUCCAGAGGAACCUGUUCUACGGCCAGAAGAACAAGUACCGAGCACCCCGAGGGAAGCCGGCCCCGGCCUCAGGGGACACCCAGACCCCUGCAAAGGGGUCCAGUGUCCGGGAGCCUGGGCGCAGUGGUGUUGAGGGGCCACAUUCCAGCUGAGUGGCCUUGCUCUGUGUGAGCCCCGUGCGAGGGCCCUGCUUGUAGCUGGACCCUGGAACCUUCUGUAGCUAAGAGGGAAUCCUGGCCCCCUCCCCAGAAGCCAUUUGUCAAUAAACCAUUUCUAAG